Molecule: ribosomal RNA, 464 nt
Filed under: uncultured bacterium
Lineage: Bacteria
Description: partial 16S ribosomal RNA
Rfam family: Bacterial small subunit ribosomal RNA
Source: RNAcentral
AUGCACGCUGGCGGCGUGCUUAACCCAUGCAAGUCGAACGGAAAGGCUCCUGCUUGCAGGGGUACUCGAGUGGCGAACGGGUGAGUAACACGUGGGUGAUCUGCCCUGCACUUCGGGAUAAGCCUGGGAAACUGGGUCUAAUACCGGAUAGGACGAUGGUUUGGAUGCCGUUGUGGAAAGUUUUUCGGUGUGGGAUGAGCUCGCGGCCUAUCAGCUUGUUGGUGGGGUAAUGGCCUACCAAGGCGUCGACGGGUAGCCGGCCUGAGAGGGUGUACGGCCACAUUGGGACUGAGAUACGGCCCAGACUCCUACGGGAGGCAGCAGUGGGGAAUAUUGCACAAUGGGCGCAAGCCUGAUGCAGCGACGCCGCGUGGGGGAUGACGGCCUUCGGGUUGUAAACUCCUUUCGCUAGGGACGAAGCGCAAGUGACGGUACCUGGAGAAGAAGCACCGGCUAACUACGUG